GGCCCCGUCGUCUAGCGGCCUAGGACACCGGCCUUUCACGCCGGUAACACGGGUUCGAUUCCCGUCGGGGUCA
Molecule: transfer RNA, 73 nt
Filed under: Planctomycetota bacterium
Lineage: Bacteria; Pseudomonadati; Planctomycetota
Description: Planctomycetes bacterium tRNA-Glu
Rfam family: tRNA
About the family: Transfer RNA (tRNA) molecules are approximately 80 nucleotides in length. Their secondary structure includes four short double-helical elements and three loops (D, anti-codon, and T loops). Further hydrogen bonds mediate the characteristic L-shaped molecular structure. tRNAs have two regions of fundamental functional importance: the anti-codon, which is responsible for specific mRNA codon recognition, and the 3' end, to which the tRNAs corresponding amino acid is attached (by aminoacyl-tRNA synthetases). tRNAs cope with the degeneracy of the genetic code in two manners: having more than one tRNA (with a specific anti-codon) for a particular amino acid; and 'wobble' base-pairing, i.e. permitting non-standard base-pairing at the 3rd anti-codon position.
Source: RNAcentral